UCCAAACAAACUUAAUUUGGGCCAAACUAAAACUGGAAUGAUACAGAGAAGAGUAGCAUGGCNCCUGGGCAAGGAUGGCAUGCAAAUUUGUGAAGCGUUCCAUAUUUUU
RNAcentral lists this small nuclear RNA (109 nucleotides) under Salvator merianae (Argentine black and white tegu). The record is from RNAcentral. Lineage: Eukaryota; Metazoa; Chordata; Lepidosauria; Squamata; Teiidae.